GAACGCUGGCGGCGCGCUUACACAUGCAAGUCGAGCGAGAAAGCCCCUUCGGGGGUGAGUACAGCGGCGCACGGGUGAGUAACACGUGGACAAUCUACCUCGAAGUGGGGGAUAACUUCGCGAAAGUGGGGCUAAUACCGCAUAAUCUUCUUUUGCCGAGGUGAAAGGAGGAAAGGUUUACCGCUUUGAGAUGAGUCUGCGGCCCAUCAGCUAGUUGGUAGGGUAACGGCCUACCAAGGCGACGACGGGUAGCUGGCCUGAGAGGGUAACCAGCCACACUGGAACUGGAACACGGUCCAGACUCCUACGGGAGGCAGCAGUGGGGAAUCUUGCGCAAUGGGGGAAACCCUGACGCAGCGACGCCGCGUGGGUGAAGAAGGCCUUCGGGUUGUAAAGCCCUGUCGCAGAGGAAGAAAAGGCAACUUGACGGUACUCUGUGAGAAAGCACAGGCUAACUCCGUGCCAGCAGCCGCGGUAACACGGAGUGUGCGAGCGUUGUUCGGAAUCACUGGGCGUAAAGCGAUUGUAGGCGGAUUAUCAAGUCGGUUGUGAAAUCCCGGGGCUCAACCCCGGACUGGCAUCCGAAACUGAUAGUCUUGAGUCCGGUAGAGGGCAGUGGAAUUCCCGGUGUAGAGGUGAAAUUCGUAGAUAUCGGGAAGAACACUAGUGGCGAAGGCGACUGCCUAGGCCGAGACUGACGCUGAGAAUCGAAAGCGUGGGGAGCGAACAGGAUUAGAUACCCUGGUAGUCCACGCCGUCAACGGUGGGCACUAGGUGGUGCGGGUGUCUGACCCCU
RNAcentral lists this ribosomal RNA (796 nucleotides) under uncultured organism. RNAcentral's name for it is "bacterial SSU rRNA". It matches the Rfam family "Bacterial small subunit ribosomal RNA", at positions 31 to 841 of the family's 1533-position model. The record is from RNAcentral.